RNAcentral lists this ribosomal RNA (792 nucleotides) under Bacteroidetes bacterium SCGC AAA166-J04. Its description in RNAcentral is "bacterial SSU rRNA". It matches the Rfam family "Bacterial small subunit ribosomal RNA", at positions 70 to 863 of the family's 1533-position model. The record is from RNAcentral. Lineage: Bacteria; Pseudomonadati; Bacteroidota.
CAUAGAGUGCUUGCACUCUGAUGACGACCGGCGCACGGGUGAGUAACGCGUAUACAAUCUGCCUCAUACUAGGGGAUAGCCCAGAGAAAUUUGGAUUAAUACCCUAUAGUAUCUUUUAGAGUCAUCUCUUUAAGAUUAAAGGUUACGGUAUGAGAUGAGUAUGCGUUCUAUUAGUUAGUAGGUGAGGUAACGGCUCACCUAGACCACGAUAGAUAGGGGCCCUGAGAGGGGGAUCCCCCACACUGGUACUGAGACACGGACCAGACUCCUACGGGAGGCAGCAGUGAGGAAUAUUAGACAAUGGGCGAAAGCCUGAUCUAGCCAUGCCGCGUGCAGGAUGACGGCCCUAUGGGUUGUAAACUGCUUUUAUACAGGAAGAAAAAACUCUACGUGUAGAGUCUUGACGGUACUGUAAGAAUAAGGAUCGGCUAACUCCGUGCCAGCAGCCGCGGUAAUACGGAGGAUCCAAGCGUUAUCCGGAAUUAUUGGGUUUAAAGGGUCCGUAGGUGGACAAUUAAGUCAGAGGUGAAAUCCUGCAGCUCAACUGUAGAAUUGCCUUUGAAACUGGUUGUCUUGAGUCAUUAUGAAGUGGUUAGAAUGUGUAGUGUAGCGGUGAAAUGCAUAGAUAUUACACAGAAUACCAAUUGCGAAGGCAGAUCACUAAUAAUGUACUGACACUGAUGGACGAAAGCGUGGGUAGCGAACAGGAUUAGAUACCCUGGUAGUCCACGCCGUAAACGAUGGUCACUAGCUGUUCGGACUUCGGUCUGAGUGGCUAAGCGAAAGUGAUAA